CCUACGGGAGGCAGCAGUGGGGAAUAUUGCACAAUGGGCGCAAGCCUGAUGCAGCCAUGCCGCGUGUAUGAAGAAGGCCUUCGGGUUGUAAAGUACUUUCAGUCGUGAGGAAGGCGUUGUAGUUAAUAGCUGCAUCGUUUGACGUUAGCGACAGAAGAAGCACCGGCUAACUCCGUGCCAGCAGCCGCGGUAAUACGGAGGGUGCGAGCGUUAAUCGGAAUUACUGGGCGUAAAGCGCAUGCAGGUGGUUUGUUAAGUCAGAUGUGAAAGCCCGGGGCUCAACCUCGGAAUAGCAUUUGAAACUGGCAGACUAGAGUACUGUAGAGGGGGGUACAAUUUCAGGUGUAGCGGUGAAAUGCGUAGAGAUCUGGAGGAAUACCGGUGGCGAAGGCGGCCCCCUGGACAAGAACUGACGCUCAUGUACGAAAGCGUGGGGAGCAAACAGGAUUAGCUACCCGGGUAGUC
RNAcentral lists this ribosomal RNA (465 nucleotides) under uncultured Vibrio sp. Its description in RNAcentral is "bacterial SSU rRNA". It matches the Rfam family "Bacterial small subunit ribosomal RNA", at positions 338 to 795 of the family's 1533-position model. Lineage: Bacteria; Pseudomonadati; Pseudomonadota; Gammaproteobacteria; Vibrionales; Vibrionaceae. The record is from RNAcentral.